UACGUAGGGGGCAAGCGUUGUCCGGAAUCAUUGGGCGUAAAGCGCGUGUAGGCGGCCCGAUAAGUCCGCUGUGAAAGUCCAGGGCUCAACCCUGGAAUGCCGGUGGAUACUGUCGGGCUCGAGUCCGGAAGAGGCGAGUGGAAUUCCUGGUGUAGCGGUGGAAUGCGCAGAUAUCAGGAGGAACACCAAUAGCGAAGGCAGCUCGCUGGGACGGUACUGACGCUAAGGCGCGAAAGCGUGGGGAGCGAACAGG
This 253-nucleotide ribosomal RNA is filed under the name uncultured bacterium. RNAcentral describes it as "partial 16S ribosomal RNA". It matches the Rfam family "Bacterial small subunit ribosomal RNA", at positions 524 to 776 of the family's 1533-position model. The record is from RNAcentral.